AGCCUCUAAGCAUCAGGUAACAUCAAAUCGUACCCCAAACCGACACAGGUGGUCAGGUAGAGAAUACCAAGGCGCUUGAGAGAACUCGGGUGAAGGAACUAGGCAAAAUGGUGCCGUAACUUCGGGAGAAGGCACGCUGAUAUGUAGGUGAAGCGACUUGCUCGUGGAGCUGAAAUCAGUCGAAGAUACCAGCUGGCUGCAACUGUUUAUUAAAAACACAGCACUGUGCAAACACGAAAGUGGACGUAUACGGUGUGACGCCUGCCCGGUGCCGGAAGGUUAAUUGAUGGGGUUAGCGCAAGCGAAGCUCUUGAUCGAAGCCCCGGUAAACGGCGGCCGUAACGAUAACGGUCCUAAGGUAGCGAAAUUCCUUGUCGGGUAAGUUCCGACCUGCACGAAUGGCGUAAUGAUGGCCAGGCUGUCUCCACCCGAGACUCAGUGAAAUUGAACUCGCU
RNAcentral lists this ribosomal RNA (455 nucleotides) under Enterococcus faecalis. Its description in RNAcentral is "partial 23S ribosomal RNA". It matches the Rfam family "Bacterial large subunit ribosomal RNA", at positions 1616 to 2052 of the family's 2925-position model. The record is from RNAcentral. Lineage: Bacteria; Bacillati; Bacillota; Bacilli; Lactobacillales; Enterococcaceae.